AAAAGUUUAGUUAAUACAAAUAACAUUAACUUGUCAAGUUAAAAUAACUAAUAUAUAGUAACUUUUA
RNAcentral lists this transfer RNA (67 nucleotides) under Dicronocephalus adamsi. Its description in RNAcentral is "tRNA-Asp". The record is from RNAcentral. Lineage: Eukaryota; Metazoa; Arthropoda; Insecta; Coleoptera; Scarabaeidae.